CACCCCUGGGCCACUUCACCCUUUUUUACUCCGUCCACCUUCCUCUGGCUAAAAUGUCUUAGCCUGAAUUAGUGGAAGGAGCUUUAUCCUUAUACAUAUACCUGUGGAAUUGCAGCAUAGCUAUUUCUUUAAGAGUCAAGCAAGGCCGAAGGCUGACGCAGCGCGCCCACCGUGAAAGGAAGGGUGACACCCGCUAGUCUAUCUUAGAUAAUGUCAGUUUCUAAAAUGCACCAUCUGCUGUUCAGUGCAUGCUGGGAAAGGCUCGUUCCAGACAGGUAAAAGAAAUAGGAACUCUUUACUUCUUUAACUUGUGUUUAGUGGUUGUUGCCAUCCCCUGUAUUUGUACACUGCUGUUUGUAGAGAACUCAGUCAGCCUUUUGUUUUGUUGUUUUCAGAAGUCAGAUUUAGUUAGGCCUAGUUUGGGUUUUUUAAUUUUGAUUAUUUGGCACAACUAUAUUGUCCCUACCUCCACCACAUUUGUGAAUCAGUUGUCCGUUAAUAAACAGUUAAUUCACGAAAAUCACUUUGACUCUGUUUAAUUUGGUUGUUGUUAAAGUUAUUGUCUCACUUUGUGGACGUAACAGUGUGUUAGUGAGUGAGUGAGAGAGAGAGAGAGAGAGAGACAUGGUAACUAUAUAUCACAAAUAGGCUUAUGGAUUAUUUGUGAUUUUUUUGAGUUCAAAGCCUAAUUUUAACUUGCAUUUAUUUCCAACAAUUGGCCACUAACCAAUAUUGUUUCACCAUUGUAUUUAGAAUUACAGCAGUUUAUUUGAGGGUGCAUUUAAGUCAUUUAGAAAAUUAAGAACUUUGAUUGCUUUAUAGACUGUGUUUAUUUGCACGCGUGGGGAAAUGCAGCUGUAGGGCACGCGGUGGAGCUGAAUCAGCUUUGACUGAGGAUUGCGGGGUUACUGGUCCAAAACCACAACUAAGUUUCUAAAGUUGUCACAACAAGACAAUGCACAGGACUGAGGAAAACAGCAUGCAAAUAUCUAUCAAAUAAAUAAAUUGAAUAAAAGUCAGGAUGGGAAAUAGAAAUAGGUUUCCCUCUUCCUCGGCAUCUCUCCUGGCUCCACUUAGGCCGUCCUGUUGUUCCUCUGCCACUCUGCUGCAGUGGCAUCCUGCAUCCACUCCACUGUGUGUCAGGUAAUUACAGCCACAGUCACUGCUGGAGGGUUAGCCUGAAACCUUUGAGCCGCGCCACCUUCUCCAAAUCCAUCUGCGGAGAUGGCCGGCAGAAGUUUUCGAAGUGACCCUGCCUUUGGUAUUUGUGAAGCAGCAGAGCAGCCCUUCGUCACCGGCAGUAACAUUUCUCUCACCUUAAAGUCUAGAUGUUGUAAUUGGCAAGAUAUGAUUCUAGAAACUUCUACGGUGUUACUGCUGAGGAGCUUUUUUUUAUUAAUACCUCUCAUUCUUCAUUCUUGUAAUGUAAGUUUUGAAAACAGCUGUCAAAGCUCUCAGAUAUGUCAGUGGAAUUGUUAAUAUGUAAUGUCAUUUGCACCUACCAAAUACUUCCGCUAUUUUUCAAACACCUAUAAGUCGCAUUUAAAUUACAACUUUUACUGUUCUUUUUUUAUAACUUUUUUGAACGCAAACAAUAUGAUAAUAGGAAUGAACAGAAACAAAGUAUGAAUAAAUAGAAAUAGAAGGAGGAGGAUUACAGCAACAAGCCACUCGGUGGCAAUUCAAUAUCGUGUGACGUUCAGCCUUGUUAUGGUCCAGUAGUUAUGGUUUAAGUUGCAUAGCAAAUUGGAGAAGAACAAGAUAAUCAUUCAAAGGUACAAUAAAACAGAGACGGAUUCAGGAAUUUCUUCAUUAUUUGAAUAUAUUUGAGCAGUAAAAUGAAAUAGUAAGGAAGGAAAUGUUUUCCUAUUUCAACUUAAAUUGCUGACAAAAUGAAUCAUUUUUUGUCCCUGCAGAACGAAGGUGCUAUAAUUGUCUGCGACUCUCAUGACAAGUUUAGAUUCAGGCCUCUAGAUCUUAAACCAAUACAUAGCUUAUUAAUAGAAUUUAUGUGCUGUAUACCGUCUUCUCAGGGACAGGCUGUCUAAUUAUUCCACCAGCUGAAUGAUAUUGGUGGACUUUAUUAAUGUUCCAGGGAUAACCAAUAAAUGCGCCACUGGGGAUUUCAUCAAAUGAAAUGGGAAUAUUUCACACUUUUAAUGAAGCACUCUCCACGUGCACCACAUAUACCCUUAUUCAAACAUGCAUAUGAUCCUUCAAAGACAUAUUAUUCCAAGUAUGAGUAAGUGAUGGUGGCUGUCUGGCCUUUAACAACCGAAGAGCUCCUCUGAACCGCUUUGGGUGCUUCCUCAGAAGAAAACAACAGCAUUGCAUACAGAUUUGCCUCAUGCUUUUUUAUCAUUAUCAUCAUUAAAUAGUUGGCUAGGUGGGAUUAAUGAGUAUCUCGGCGCAUUAUUCUUAAGGUUGUCUAAUCCUGUUGGAACUGAUAUAAAAAGUUUACAGUCCUUUGGCAUUUACAGCAAUGGAUCGGGACAUCAGAUCGCCAGCCUUGCAUUGUCUCACCUUUCAUCGGAACGUAAUGGAAAAUCAAACAUCAUUAUCAGUACAUAGAGCCAUUAAAGACAAAUGUGUGUGUUAUUGCUCACACUCUGUUUUCCUCAGUGUUUUAUGUCCUCCCUCAGGAGAUGUUAAGGCCUGUUGCAGAUCGACCAUAAAUCCCAAACUUAGUCGUCCUUUUUGUCGCAAAGGGAUGUUGCUGUCUGGCCGAAGAUGGAACGUGGAUGAAGGCUGGACAGAGACCUCUAUGACAGCCCCUCUGAGGACUGAAUGGACAGCGGCGUCUGAUGAAUGGCCAGCCUCCCUCUUAAUCACAAAGCACUCGCACCAAGUGAGACACAGCAACAAAGGCAUCUAUGAGGUUCUUAAAAUACCUUCGCUGACAAACUAACUUUUGGUGGUUUAUCGCUGUUUCUCUUUUGCAACUGGUCAUGUCAACAAUUUUUUUUCUUUUUUUUUAUUGUAUAUUUGUAUGUCAUUGUAUUUUAUAUUAAAUGCAAGAAAAGUUAGAUUGAUAGUGCCUUCCGCUAAAGUCUUCUUUUACACGGAUUCUAAUACUUUGUACUUUGUACUGUUCAAAUGAUAUAUAGGUAUUUCAUAGAUUACAUUGUAACAGUACAGACAUAUAUGGUGUACAUGUCUUUCUUUCUAAGGGACUUGUUAUUCUCUAUUUUCACGUUUCCCCUUUCUCUUUCACAUGCCCUGAUUCUCUUGAAUUGUAGAGAAAGAAGUCAAAUUUGUCCAAGGGGGCAUAAAAAAGUAUUUUGUCUUUGUUGUAAAGGGUUUUGGCUGAAGACGAUCCCAUGCGUCAGAGGACCAGGUGUGUAUUAUUUCACAGCUGAAAAACAUUCCCUGCUUAAGAUUUUUUCAAAAUAAAACGUGAUGUUUUAUCAUUCACUGGGAAGGAGUGAACCCAAGGAUGAUCAUUGAAUCAUUUCGAUCUCUUUACAACUGGGCAAGAUUGGUUUACAUAAAGGCCAGAAAGACUUACAGCAUUCUUCCCUACAAAACGGGAGUGUCUGAGUUUGGCCUACACACAUGACAUUUAACUGUAUGCUGAAAAUGUUUUAUUUCCUCUCCCAAGGUUGCAAUGUGUGUUCACAAAAAGCUUUUGUGUACUUGAUGUGAAAAUCAUAUUUCAUCCUGAGUCCCAUUUAGGAAUAGCUAAAUGUACUGUAGGUCCUAAUAGUCAGGGAAAAGGCUUGUGUCAGUGGAAAAAGGUGACCCUAAAUACAUCCUUCACUGUUUGCACAUUGAUGAGUGGCAAGCAAAAUUGUCCUUCAGAGCCUGUUAUUAUUUGAGCAAGCUAUUGCAAUGCACGGCGCACAGUGAGCCUGGAGCAUAGGUUGCAUUUUGCUGUACACUCCACUGCAAAAUGGGACUAGUCAAGCCCUAAUGUAACCAGCAAAAGCUGGAUAAAAAUCUAUACAAACUCAAUUAUGAAUCAAUUUGAGUUUGUGUCAGACAGUCUGGUGCCAACAGAGUGGAUUUUUUAUUAACUUAUGGUCUGGGAAGAAUGAAACACUUUUCAUUUGUGUACUUCAGUAUGUUGCUUCAUGAUUCAGAGGAAGGGUGUUCACACUUUGUUUUUGAGGGAUUUAUCUCUCAUGGUGGACCGGCUGGAGGCAAACAGCAUUUGUGUCCUGAUUAUGGAGUCAUGAUAGUUAAAUCCUUACGAUGUGAGAAGAUAGAGAACCCCUUUUGAAAAGCAGAAGGUAGCUCAACAGUUGAUUAAGUAAUUAAGAUUAAAUCCCUCCCACAUUGA
Non-coding RNA from Gasterosteus aculeatus aculeatus (three-spined stickleback), 4282 nucleotides. NCBI's taxonomy places the organism in Eukaryota, Metazoa, Chordata, Actinopteri, Perciformes, Gasterosteidae. The record is from RefSeq and is a predicted model, not a curated record.